GAUGAACGCUGGCGGCGUGCCUAACACAUGCAAGUCGAGCGAAGCGCUUAAAUUAGAUUUCUUCGGAAUGACGAUUUUUGUGACUGAGCGGCGGACGGGUGAGUAACGCGUGGGUAACCUGCCUCAUACAGGGGGAUAACAGUUAGAAAUGACUGCUAAUACCGCAUAAGACCCCAGCUUCGCAUGAAGCGGUGGUAAAAACUCCGGUGGUAUGAGAUGGACCCGCGUCUGAUUAGCUAGUUGGUAAGGUAACGGCUUACCAAGGCGACGAUCAGUAGCCGACCUGAGAGGGUGACCGGCCACAUUGGGACUGAGACACAGCCCAGACUCCUACGGGAGGCAGCAGUGGGGAAUAUUGCACAAUGGGGGAAACCCUGAUGCAGCGACGCCGCGUGAAGGAUGAAGUAUUUCGGUAUGUAAACUUCUAUCAGCAGGGAAGAAAGUGACGGUACCUGACGAAGAAGCCCCGGCUAACUACGUG
Molecule: ribosomal RNA, 481 nt
Filed under: uncultured bacterium
Lineage: Bacteria
Description: partial 16S ribosomal RNA
Rfam family: Bacterial small subunit ribosomal RNA
Source: RNAcentral